Molecule: ribosomal RNA, 491 nt
Filed under: uncultured bacterium
Lineage: Bacteria
Description: partial 16S ribosomal RNA
Rfam family: Bacterial small subunit ribosomal RNA
Source: RNAcentral
GAUGAACGCUGGCUACAGGCUUAACACAUGCAAGUCGAGGGGAAACGACGGGGAAGCUUGCUUCCCCGGGCGUCGACCGGCGCACGGGUGAGUAACGCGUAUCCAACCUGCCUCUGACUGAGGGAUAACCCGUCGAAAGUCGGCCUAAUACCUCAUGGUAUCGUCUGCGGGCAUCCAACGACGAUUAAAGAUUUCAUCGGUCAGGGAUGGGGAUGCGUCUGAUUAGCUUGUUGGCGGGGUAACGGCCCACCAAGGCUACGAUCAGUAGGGGUUCUGAGAGGAAGGUCCCCCACAUUGGAACGGAGACACGGUCCAAACUCAUACGGGAGGCAGCAGUGAGGAAUAUUGGUCAAUGGGCGAGAGCCUGAACCAGCCAAGUAGCGUGCAGGAAGACGGCCCUAUGGGUUGUAAACUGCUUUUAUGCGGGGAUAAAGUGAGGGACGUGUCCCUCAUUGCAGGUACCGCAUGAAUAAGGACCGGCUAAUUCCGUG